This 467-nucleotide ribosomal RNA is filed under the name uncultured bacterium. Its description in RNAcentral is "partial 16S ribosomal RNA". It matches the Rfam family "Bacterial small subunit ribosomal RNA", at positions 28 to 523 of the family's 1533-position model. The record is from RNAcentral.
GAUGAAUGCUGGCGGCGUGCCUAACACAUGCAAGUCGAGCGGUAACAGGAGUAGUUUACUACUUGCUGACGAGCGGCGGACGGCUGAGUAACGCGUGGGAACGUGCCCCAAAGUGAGGGAUAACUGCCCGAAAGGGUGGCUAAUACCGCAUAUGGUCUUCGGAUUAAAGGAUUUAUCCGCUUUGGGAGCGACCCGCGUUAGAUUAGUUAGUUGGUAGGGUAAUGGCCUACCAAGCCUACGAUCUAUAGCUGGUCUGAGAGGAUGACCAGCCAGACUGGAACUGAGACACGGUCCAGACUCCUACGGGAGGCAGCAGUGGGGAAUUUUCCACAAUGGGCGAAAGCCUGAUGGAGCAACGCCGCGUGAAGGAUGAAGGCCCUCGGGUUGUAAACUUCUUUUAUAAGUGAAGAAUAUGACGGUAACUUAUGAAUAAGCACCGGCUAACUACGUGCCAGCCGCCGCGGUAA